GACGAACGCUGGCGGCGUGCCUAAUACAUGCAAGUUGAGCGCUGAAGGUUGGUACUUGUACCAACUGGAUGAGCAGCGAACGGGUGAGUAACGCGUGGGGAAUCUGCCUUUGAGCGGGGGACAACAUUUGGAAACGAAUGCUAAUGCCGCAUAAAAACUUUAAACACAAGUUUUAAGUUUGAAAGAUGCAAUUGCAUCACUCAAAGAUGAUCCCGCGUUGUAUUAGCUAGUUGGUGAGGUAAAGGCUCACCAAGGCGAUGAUACAUAGCCGACCUGAGAGGUUGAUCGGCACCAUUGGGACGGAGACACGGCCCAAACCCCUACGGGAGGCCGCAGUAGGGAAUCUUCGGAAAUGGGCGAAAGUCUGACCGAGCAACGCCGGGGGGGUGAAGAAGGUUUUGGGAUCGUAAAAUCCUGUGGGUAGGGAAGAACGUUGGGGGGAGGGGAAAGCCCAUCAAGGACGGGAAAUAACCAAAAAGGGGAGGCUAAACUACGG
RNAcentral lists this ribosomal RNA (496 nucleotides) under uncultured bacterium. RNAcentral's name for it is "partial 16S ribosomal RNA". It matches the Rfam family "Bacterial small subunit ribosomal RNA", at positions 28 to 506 of the family's 1533-position model. The record is from RNAcentral.